Acanthosepion pharaonis is the source of this 114-nucleotide non-coding RNA. The record is from the annotation of a GenBank genome assembly. NCBI's taxonomy places the organism in Eukaryota, Metazoa, Mollusca, Cephalopoda, Sepiida, Sepiidae.
UUACGGCCAUAUCUCGUUGAAACACCAGUUCUCAUUCGAUCACCGAAUUUAGGCAAUAUCGAACCUGGUCAGAACCUGGAUGGAUGAUCGCCUGGAAAUACCAGGUGAUGUAAG